GUAGGGUGCAAGCGUUAAUCGGAAUUACUAGGCGUAAAGCGUGCGCAGGCGGUUAUGCAAGACAGAGGUGAAAUCCCCGGGCUCAACCUGGGAACUGCCUUUGUGACUGCAUGGCUAGAGUACGGUAGAGGGGGAUGGAAUUCCGCGUGUAGCAGUGAAAUGCGUAGAUAUGCGGAGGAACACCGAUGGCGAAGGCAAUCCCCUGGACCUGUACUGACGCUCAUGCACGAAAGCGUGGGGAGCAAACAGGAUUAGAUACCCUGGUAGUCCACGCCCUAAACGAUGUCAACUGGUUGUUGGGAGGGUUUCUUCUCAGUAACGUAGCUAACGCGUGAAGUUGACCGCCUGGGGAGUACGGCCGCAAGGUUG
RNAcentral lists this ribosomal RNA (369 nucleotides) under uncultured bacterium. RNAcentral's name for it is "bacterial SSU rRNA". It matches the Rfam family "Bacterial small subunit ribosomal RNA", at positions 527 to 896 of the family's 1533-position model. The record is from RNAcentral.